RNAcentral lists this long non-coding RNA (447 nucleotides) under Phoenix dactylifera (date palm). RNAcentral describes it as "long non-coding RNA (PDAC_LNC011639)". Lineage: Eukaryota; Viridiplantae; Streptophyta; Magnoliopsida; Arecales; Arecaceae. The record is from RNAcentral.
AGGCACCUUUCGAAGGAUAAAACUGUGAGGGGCUAGUACCUACGCGGACCCCCAAAACGGACAACCUUGUGAGGGAUGCAGCUCUCUUUUUCUGCUCGGAUUGAUGGGGACUAGGAAAAAAUCCCGGCAACAAUAACAAUUUGGUAAUGAAAUAGAACGAAGUCAUACUCAGCAAAGAAACGUUGGAGAAAUUCGCACCCGAAAAGAUCGCAUAACCAACCUCUUACCAUUCCAGCUACCUAAUUUUGUGAACUUUCUGCCAUAGGCUUUGAAUAUGCUGUAAAAUAAACCUAACGACCCGUGUGAACUCCACAUCCUGCGAACAAGGAGCUCAGUCCGCCUGAGCCGUACCAACUGGUACAACUGUGUUCCGACCCGACACCCAUCGGGUACAACCCAGUGGAAAGCUCAUACUAUUCAUGUGCUUCUGGAAUCCCUUUGACAUCA